This 662-nucleotide ribosomal RNA is filed under the name uncultured Desulfuromonadales bacterium. RNAcentral's name for it is "bacterial SSU rRNA". It matches the Rfam family "Bacterial small subunit ribosomal RNA", at positions 139 to 783 of the family's 1533-position model. Lineage: Bacteria; Pseudomonadati; Thermodesulfobacteriota; Desulfuromonadia; Desulfuromonadales. The record is from RNAcentral.
GGGAAUAACAUUGCGAAAGCGAUGCUAAUACCGUAUAAGCUCACGAUUUGACUAGUUGUGGGAAAAGAUGGCCUAGUCUAUGCUAUCGCUUGAAGAUGAGUCCGCGUACCAUUAGCUAGUUGGUAGGGUAAUGGCCUACCAAGGCUACGAUGGUUAGCUGGCCUGAGAGGGCGGCCAGCCACACUGGAACUGAGACACGGUCCAGACUCCUACGGGAGGCAGCAGUGGGGAAUAUUGCGCAAUGGGGGAAACCCUGACGCAGCGACGCCGUGUGAGUGAUGAAGGUUUUCGGAUCGUAAAGCUCUGUCGGGUGGAAAGAAUAAAGGCUGUGUAAAUAAUGCAGUCUGAUGACGGUACCACCAAAGGAAGCACCGGCUAAUUCCGUGCCAGCAGCCGCGGUAAUACGUAGGGUGCAAGCGUUAAUCGGAAUUACUGGGCGUAAAGCGUGCGCAGGCGGUUAUGCAAGACAGAUGUGAAAUCCCCGGGCUCAACCUGGGAACUGCAUUUGUGACUGCAUGACUUGAGUACGGUAGAGGGGGAUGGAAUUCCGCGUGUAGCAGUGAAAUGCGUAGAUAUGCGGAGGAACACCGAUGGCGAAGGCAAUCCCCUGGACCUGUACUGACGCUCAUGCACGAAAGCGUGGGGAGCAAACAGGAUUAGAU